UCGGGAAUUUUGCGCAAUGGACGAAAGUCUGACGCAGCAACGCCGCGUGAGGGAUGAAGGCCUUCGGGUUGUAAACCUCUUUUAUCAGGGAAGAUAAUGACGGUACCUGAUGAAUAAGUCACGGCUAACUACGUGCCAGCAGCCGCGGUAAUACGUAGGUGACAAGCGUUGUCCGGAUUUACUGGGCGUAAAGAGCGCGCAGGCGGUCGUUCAAGUCGAGUGUGAAAGCCCCCGGCUCAACUGGGGAGGGUCAUUCGCUACUGAUCGACUCGAAGGCAGGAGAGGGUAGUGGAAUUCCCGGUGUAGUGGUGAAAUGCGUAGAUAUCGGGAGGAACACCAGUGGCGAAGGCGACUACCUGGCCUGUUCUUGACGCUGAGGCGCGAAAGCUAGGGGAGCAAACGGG
Molecule: ribosomal RNA, 404 nt
Filed under: bacterium
Lineage: Bacteria
Description: partial 16S ribosomal RNA
Rfam family: Bacterial small subunit ribosomal RNA
Source: RNAcentral